GAUGAACGCUGGCGGCGCGCCUAAUACAUGCAAGUCGAACGAACAGACGAGCAUCUUGCUCCUUAUACGUUAGCGUCGGACGGCUGAGGAGUACGUAAGUAACGUAUGUUCAAGCCUGGACUAACUUCGGGAAACGGGAGCUAAGACCUGAUUACCUUUAGAACCGCAUGGUUCGAUCGUGAAUGGUAGCUUUGCUACUACUUGUAGAUGGAGAUGUGCCGUACUAUCUAGUUGGUAUGGUAAUGGUUUACCAAGGCAACGAUACGUAGCCGACGUGAGAGGGUGAGCGGCCACGCUGGAACUGAGACACGGUCCAGACCCCUACGGGAGGGAGCAGUAGGGAUUCUUCCGCAUGGGGCGAGAGCCUGACGGAGCAGCGCCGAGUGAGUGAUGAAGGUCUUCGGAUCGUAGAAGUCUGUUAUUAGGGAAGAACAGACGUGUAAGUAACUGUGCGCGUCGUGACGGUACCUAAUCAGAAAGCCACGGCUAACUACGUG
RNAcentral lists this ribosomal RNA (497 nucleotides) under uncultured bacterium. RNAcentral's name for it is "partial 16S ribosomal RNA". It matches the Rfam family "Bacterial small subunit ribosomal RNA", at positions 28 to 507 of the family's 1533-position model. The record is from RNAcentral.